UGGAGUGUUUUGCAAGGAUUACUUAAUUUUCAAUGCUCUAUACAAAAAAUUAAGUUCUAUACAGAGAAGGAGCUGCCAGCAGGGUGUUCUCCAAGAAGGCUCUGGGACUGUGGAACUUUCUCCCCACCUUGGUUCAAAUCAGCCCAGAGCUGAUGGAUUUUCAGGCUGGAACUGUCAAAGCCUGUUCAGCCCUGGGGAAAGAGGCAUUUGUUAUACUCUAAGACAGCAGAAGGACAAGGAACUCUAGAACACACAGGUCAUUGAUAAAAAAUUUAAAUAGCACAGGGCCAAGAACUGAUCUUUGCGGGAUCCCAUGGGAAGUACACCCUCUUGAUGACGAUUCCUCAGUUACAACUACAUUUUGGGACCUAUCAGACAGUUUUUAAUCCAUUUAAUA
Molecule: long non-coding RNA, 397 nt
Organism: Malaclemys terrapin pileata
Lineage: Eukaryota; Metazoa; Chordata; Testudines; Emydidae
Exons: 3
Source: RefSeq, a predicted model, not a curated record